This 259-nucleotide ribosomal RNA is filed under the name uncultured bacterium. RNAcentral describes it as "partial 16S ribosomal RNA". It matches the Rfam family "Bacterial small subunit ribosomal RNA", at positions 793 to 1055 of the family's 1533-position model. The record is from RNAcentral.
GUCCACGCCCUAACGAUGUCUACUAGUUGUCGGGUUUAAUUAACUUGGUAACGCAGCUAACGCGUGAAGUAGACCGCCUGGGGAGUACGGUCGCAAGAUUAAACUCAAAGGAAUUGACGGGACCCGCACAAGCGGUGGAUGAUGUGGAUUAAUUCGAUGCAACGCGAAAACCUUACCUACCCUUGACAUGGAUGGAAUCCUUGAGAGAUUGAGGAGUGCCCGAAAGGGAACCAUUACACAGGUGCUGCAUGGCUGUCGU